UACGUAGGCGGUUUUUUAAGUCAGGUGUGAAAGCGUGAGGCUUAACCUCAUUAAGCACUUGAAACUGGAAGACUUGAGUGAAGGAGAGGAAAGUGGAAUUCCUAGUGUAGCGGUGAAAUGCGUAGAUAUUAGGAGGAAUACCAGUGGCGAAGGCGACUUUCUGGACUGCAACUGACACUGAGGCACGAAAGCGUGGGGAGCAAACAGGA
Molecule: ribosomal RNA, 209 nt
Filed under: uncultured Parvimonas sp.
Lineage: Bacteria; Bacillati; Bacillota; Tissierellia; Tissierellales; Peptoniphilaceae
Description: partial 16S ribosomal RNA
Rfam family: Bacterial small subunit ribosomal RNA
Source: RNAcentral